UAGGGAAUCUUCGGCAAUGGGGGGAACCCUGACCGAGCAACGCCGCGUGAGUGAAGAAGGUUUUCGGAUCGUAAAGCUCUGUUGUUAAGGAAGAACGAGUGUGAGAAUGGAAAGUUCAUGCUGUGACGGUACUUAACCAGAAAGGGACGGCUAACUACGUGCCAGCAGCCGCGGUAAUACGUAGGUCCCGAGCGUUGUCCGGAUUUAUUGGGCGUAAAGCGAGCGCAGGCGGUUAGAAAAGUCUGAAGUGAAAGGCAGUGGCUCAACCAUUGUAGGCUUUGGAAACUGUUUAACUUGAGUGCAGAAGGGGAGAGUGGAAUUCCAUGUGUAGCGGUGAAAUGCGUAGAUAUAUGGAGGAACACCGGUGGCGAAAGCGGCUCUCUGGUCUGUAACUGACGCUGAGGCUCGAGAGCGUGGGGAGCGAACAGG
This 429-nucleotide ribosomal RNA is filed under the name Bacteroidota bacterium. RNAcentral describes it as "Bacteroidetes bacterium partial 16S ribosomal RNA". It matches the Rfam family "Bacterial small subunit ribosomal RNA", at positions 355 to 776 of the family's 1533-position model. Lineage: Bacteria; Pseudomonadati; Bacteroidota. The record is from RNAcentral.